This 1922-nucleotide unclassified non-coding RNA is filed under the name Sitophilus oryzae (rice weevil). Its description in RNAcentral is "hrp65 protein-like, transcript variant X2". The record is from RNAcentral. Lineage: Eukaryota; Metazoa; Arthropoda; Insecta; Coleoptera; Curculionidae.
UCUUGUCAGGUCUUGUCACUUGUCACCUCCGCCAGACCUCCGCUUUCGGUGCUUUCUUUUCGUUGUCGUCGCCAUAUUGUACUGGGUUCUAAUAAGUUUCCGAGCAAAUAUUUUGCAGUUUAUUGGUGUUAAGAGUGUUUAGUAAGAUUAAAAUGGCAGAUGAAAGCAAAUCUGAUAAAAUAGAAUCUGUAACGGAAAGCAAUGGCGGAAGUGGAGGAGGCCAAGAGAAUAGAAAUUUCGGUGGAAACCGGCGUGGAAGUCGUGGAGGAUAUACUCGUGGCGGAUACAACUCGAAUAGAGGUGGAGGUCCAGGAGGGCAUAGAGGUGGUGACAGAUCGGAGGGAAAUCAGGGUGGUGGAGGUAUGAGAAGAGGUGGUGGAAGGGGAGGGUUUCGUGGUGGUCCAGGAGGUCGAGGAGGUGAUGGGGACCAAGGAGGCGAUGGUGAUGGAAACAGGAGACCCAUGGAUAGGAUUCUAGAAAAGAUUAACACAUUGCAAGGACCUACUUAUGAAUUGCCCCCUGUUGACACGACGGAAAAGAAAUUUAAUGGUAGAAAUCGACUGUAUGUUGGAAAUAUAGGAUCAGAAGUGACGGAGGAGGACCUAACUGAACUGUUUAAAACUUACGGAGAAACAGCUGAAAUAUUUGUCAAUAAAGACAAAAACUUUGGCUUCAUCAAACUGGACUACCACAGCAACGCAGAGAAAGCUAAACGAGAGCUAGAUGGCAGCCUGUUAAAAGGCAGAAAUUUGAAAAUUAGGUUUGCUCCUAAUACUGCAACGAUAAAACUGAAGAAUUUGACUCCACAAGUAACUAAUGAGCUGCUGCAUUAUGCCUUCAGUCCUUUUGGUGAAAUUGAAAAGGUUCAAGUUUUAGUUGAUGAACGUGGGAAACCAACUGGAGAAGGAUUGGUUCACUUUGCUAAAAAGUUUUCUGCAGCAACUGCCAUUAAAAAAUGUCAUGACGGUUGCUAUUUUCUUACAUCUACUCUACAGCCUGUAAUAGUUGAAGCAUACGAACUUGUGGAAGACAUUGACGGCUAUUCAGAUAAAAAUAUCAACAAGAAACACCAUGAAUUUAUGAGCGAAAGAGAAAGACCUCCGAGACUAGCACAUCCAAAUAGUUUUGAAUACGAAUAUGGUCAAAAAUGGAAAGUUCUUUAUGAGCAUCACCAACAAAAGAAGGAUGCAUUAAAGAAGGAGCUUCAGCUUGAAAAAGAAAAACUAAUUGCUCAAAUGGCAUAUGCCAAGUACGAGCAUGAAACUGAGAUGUUAAGAAACCAGCUGAGGGCAAGAGAGUUGGAUAAGGAAAGACAGAAAAGGGAAUGGGAAAUGAAGGAAAGGUUGGCGGAGGAGGAAAGGUUGAGGCAAGAAGAGCUAAUGAGAAGAUCCCAGGCCGAUAUGGAAGCCCGUAUGGUAUCCAAUCAGGAUGAUAUAAGGAGAAGGCAACAAGAAAAUAAUCUCUUUAUGCAAGCCCAUAACCUAGAUAAUCUUUUGGACCAACAAGAACAAGCUUAUGAUCAACCGCCAUCUUAUUCAUCUGAAAAUUCUGGGCACAUCAGUGGUGGAGGAGUCGAUAUGGUACUCUGCUGUUUGAUUGAUUUCAUGAAGAACUUUGCAUACUGUAUUCACUGGAGCCUUGACAAGAGACUUGUGCAAAUGAUAACUUAAUAAAUAUGAAAAUAUGGAGACUGAAAAAAUAUGGAAAAUAGUAUUCAUGCGGUGUCUGUAGAAGUAAUAGAAGUCAACAUUGCAUUGGAUACUUAAACCUGGAAACCCUGAUAUAACAAUAGCCUAUAUUAGUUAGCUGCAAACUAAAGAAUCAAACUUUGGAAUGAAGUACCAAAGAAGCCUGCAUCAGUGAUUUGAUUACAUAAAUAUAUUAUAUUUUAUUAAAGUUUAUAAUAAAGCUGUCGAUCUGUU